RNAcentral lists this ribosomal RNA (371 nucleotides) under uncultured organism. RNAcentral's name for it is "partial 16S ribosomal RNA". It matches the Rfam family "Bacterial small subunit ribosomal RNA", at positions 527 to 896 of the family's 1533-position model. The record is from RNAcentral.
GUAGGUGGCAAGCGUUGUCCGGAAUUACUGGGCGUAAAGCGCGCGCAGGCGGUUCUUUAAGUCUGAUGUGAAAGCCCACGGCUCAACCGUGGAGGGUCAUUGGAAACUGGAGAACUUGAGUACAGAAGAGGAAAGCGGAAUUCCACGUGUAGCGGUGAAAUGCGUAGAGAUGUGGAGGAACACCAGUGGCGAAGGCGGCUUUCUGGUCUGUAACUGACGCUGAGGCGCGAAAGCGUGGGGAGCAAACAGAAUUAGAUACCCUGGUAGUCCACGCCGUAAACGAUGAGUGCUAAGUGUUAGGGGGUUUCCGCCCCCUUAGUGCUGCAGCUAACGCAUUAAGCACUCCGCCUGGGGAUACGGCCGCAAGGCUG